Molecule: ribosomal RNA, 766 nt
Filed under: Granulicatella adiacens
Lineage: Bacteria; Bacillati; Bacillota; Bacilli; Lactobacillales; Carnobacteriaceae
Description: bacterial SSU rRNA
Rfam family: Bacterial small subunit ribosomal RNA
Source: RNAcentral
GGACGAACGCUGGCGGCGUGCCUAAUACAUGCAAGUCGAACGAGAGCGACYGGUGCUUGCACUGGUCAAUCUAGUGGCGAACGGGUGAGUAACACGUGGGUAACCUGCCCAUCAGAGGGGGAUAACAUCCGGAAACGGAUGCUAAAACCGCAUAGGUCUUCGAGCCGCAUGGCUUGAAGAGGAAAAGAGGCGCAAGCUUCUGCUGAUGGAUGGACCCGCGGUGCAUUAGCUAGUUGGUGAGGUAACGGCUCACCAAGGCCGUGAUGCAUAGCCGACCUGAGAGGGUGAUCGGCCACAUUGGGACUGAGACACGGCCCAAACUCCUACGGGAGGCAGCAGUAGGGAAUCUUCCGCAAUGGACGCAAGUCUGACGGAGCAACGCCGCGUGAGUGAAGAAGGUUUUCGGAUCGUAAAACUCUGUUGUUAGAGAAGAACAAGUGCUAGAGUAACUGUUAGCGCCUUGACGGUAUCUAACCAGAAAGCCACGGCUAACUACGUGCCAGCAGCCGCGGUAAUACGUAGGUGGCAAGCGUUGUCCGGAUUUAUUGGGCGUAAAGCGAGCGCAGGCGGUUCCUUAAGUCUGAUGUGAAAGCCCCCGGCUCAACCGGGGAGGGUCAUUGGAAACUGGGGAACUUGAGUGCAGAAGAGGAGAGUGGAAUUCCAUGUGUAGCGGUGAAAUGCGUAGAUAUAUGGAGGAACACCAGUGGCGAAGGCGACUCUCUGGUCUGUAACUGACGCUGAGGCUCGAAAGCGUGGGUAGCAAACA